AUUGAACGCUGGCGGUAUGCUUAACACAUGCAAGUCGAACGGUAACAGCAGAGCUUGCUCUGGCUGACAAGUGGCGGACGGGUGCGUAACGCGUGGGAAUCUACCUUGUAGUGGGGGAUAGCCCGGAGAAAUCCGGAUUAAUACCGCAUAAUCUCUACGGAGCAAAGUGGGGGAUCUUCGGACCUCACGCUAUUAGAUGAGCCCGCGUUAGAUUAGCUUGUUGGUGAGGUAAUGGCUCACCAAGGCGACGAUCUAUAGCUGGUUUGAGAGGAUGAUCAGCCACACUGGGACUGAGACACGGCCCAG
Molecule: ribosomal RNA, 306 nt
Filed under: uncultured bacterium
Lineage: Bacteria
Description: bacterial SSU rRNA
Rfam family: Bacterial small subunit ribosomal RNA
Source: RNAcentral